RNAcentral lists this ribosomal RNA (406 nucleotides) under uncultured bacterium. RNAcentral describes it as "partial 16S ribosomal RNA". It matches the Rfam family "Bacterial small subunit ribosomal RNA", at positions 29 to 526 of the family's 1533-position model. The record is from RNAcentral.
AUUGAACGCUGGCGGCAGGCCUAACACAUGCAAGUCGAGCGAGAGGCGGAGGGGUGAGUAAUGUCUGGGAAACUGCCUGAUGGAAGGGGAUAACAAAUGGAUACGGUAGCUAAUACGGCAUAACAUCGGAUGUGGCCAGAGGGGAUUAGCUCGUGGGUGGGGUAACGGCUCACCUAGGCGACGAUCCCUAGCUGGUCGGAGAGGAUGACCAGCCACACUGGAACUGAGACACGGUCCAGACUCCUACGGGAGGCAGCAGUGGGGAAUAUUGCACAAUGGGCGCAAGUCUGAUGCAGCCAUGCCGCGUGUGUGAAGAAGGCCUUCGGGUUGUAAAGCACUUUCAGCGGGGAGGCGUUACCCGCAGAAGAAGCACCGGCUAACUACGUGCCAGCAGCCGCGGUAAUAC